Molecule: ribosomal RNA, 311 nt
Filed under: uncultured bacterium
Lineage: Bacteria
Description: bacterial SSU rRNA
Rfam family: Bacterial small subunit ribosomal RNA
Source: RNAcentral
GAUGAACGCUAGCGGCAGGCUUAAUACAUGCAAGUCAAGGGGGUAGCAAUACAACCGGCGCACGGGUGAGUAACGCGUACACAACAUACCAUAUACUGGAGUAUAGCUUUGGGAAACUGAAGGUAAUCCUCCAUAACAUUGCGAGAGGGCAUCUGAUUGCAAUUAAAGUUCCGGCGGUAUAUGAUUGGUGUGCGUUUGAUUAGCUAGUUGGUAGGGUAACGGCCUACCAAGGCGACGAUCAAUAGCUGGCGUGAGAGCGCGACCAGCCACACUGGAACUGAGACACGGUCAGACUCCGUACGGGAGGCAGC